ACUAUAUCUAGCCCAUACUCCUCCUCAUCACUACUACUAUAAGUCAAUCAAAUAAAACAUUUACCAUACAUCUAAAGUAUAGGAGAUAGAAAUUUAAUUAUCAAUGGCGCUAUAGAGAAAGUACCGUAAGGGAAAGAUGAAAGAAUUAUUAAAAGUAGAAAAAAGCAAAGUUUACCCCUUGUACCUUUUGCAUAAUGAUUUAACUAGUAAUAAUUUAGCAAAGAGACCUUAAGUUAAAUUACCCGAAACCAGACGAGCUACUUAUGAGCAGUAACUAGAACAAACUCAUCUAUGUGGCAAAAUAGUGAGAAGACUUGUAGGUAGAGGUGAAAAGCCUAACGAGCCUGGUGAUAGCUGGUUGUCCAAGAAAGGAAUUUCAGUUCAACAUUAAACAAUACUAAAAACCAUAUUAAGUUCCAACGUAUGUUUAACUGUUAGUCUAAAAAGGUACAGCUUUUUAGAAAUGGAUACAACCUUUACUAGAGAGUAACAUAAAACUUAAACCAUAGUUGGCCUAAAAGCAGCCAUCAAUUAAGAAAGCGUUCAAGCUCAACAACAAAAACAAGUUUUAAUUUCAACAAUAAACAAAAAACUCCUAGCCUGACUAUUGGACUAAUCUAUUUAAUUAUAGAAGAAAUACUGUUAAUAUGAGUAACAAGAAAAACUUUCUCCUUGCACA
This 679-nucleotide ribosomal RNA is filed under the name Tursiops truncatus (common bottlenose dolphin). Its description in RNAcentral is "partial 16S ribosomal RNA". The stretch from base 163 to 679 matches the Rfam family "Bacterial large subunit ribosomal RNA", at positions 568 to 1343 of the family's 2925-position model. The record is from RNAcentral. Lineage: Eukaryota; Metazoa; Chordata; Mammalia; Artiodactyla; Delphinidae.